AUGAACGCUAGCUACAGGCUUCACCCAUGCAAGUCGAGGGGAAACGACAUCGAAAGCUUGCUUUUGAUGGGCGUCGACCGGCGCACGGGUGAGUAACGCGUAUCCAACCUGCCCAUCACUUGGGAAUAACCUUGCGAAAGUAAGACUAAUACCCAAUGAUAUCCCACGAAGGCAUCGGAAUGGGAUUAAAGAUUUAUCGGUGAUGGAUGGGGAUGCGUCUGAUUAGCUUGUUGGCGGGGUAACGGCCCACCAAGGCAACGAUCAGUAGGGGUUCUGAGAGGAAGGUCCCCCACAUUGGAACUGAGACACGGUCCAAACUCCUACGGGAGGCAGCAGUGAGGAAUAUUGGUCAAUGGGCGAGAGCCUGAACCAGCCAAGUAGCGUGCAGGAAGACGGCCCUAUGGGUUGUAAACUGCUUUUAUAAGGGAAUAAAGUGGGUCACGUGUGACUUUUUGCAUGUACCUUAUGAAUAAGGACCGGCUAAUUCCGUG
RNAcentral lists this ribosomal RNA (491 nucleotides) under uncultured bacterium. RNAcentral describes it as "partial 16S ribosomal RNA". It matches the Rfam family "Bacterial small subunit ribosomal RNA", at positions 29 to 507 of the family's 1533-position model. The record is from RNAcentral.